UUAAAGUAUGGAAGACUUGUGAAGUUGCUGUAGUGAAAAUAUCAAUGGUAGAUCUUGAUUUGCCAUUAGGAAAUAUAUUUUAUAUUUUUAACUGUGUUUUUCUAUUACGCAAAUGUAAUGUAAGGUCAUCAAAAUGUCUAAUGUUAUUCAUUGCUUUGAAUACCACAACAGCUGCGCAAAGGAAAAGUAGGAAGUUAUAGUUAUAGUACUAUCAAAUAUUUUAGUAUUAUCAAUAGAAACCAAGUUAAAUACUAUAAUCUUAACAUUAAAUGAUUUUUAAAGACAAUUAUUUUAGUUUCCAUUGGUAUAACAUUUGAGAUUUAAUCACGCAUUAGUAAUUAACUGUGUUUUUGUCAUGUUAAAACCAGAGUUUAGUUUUCAGAGUAAUGAGCUAUCUGGCCUGUAUACAAAAUAUUGACAAUAUUGGCAAGUGAGUCAAUGCUUCAUUGUUUUAAUUUAGCUUUCUUUGAGAAGAAUAUUGAAUAACAUCAACAGAUUUAAAAUAUGAGGAACCUUUUGUUGGUCAUCAUGUUUUGUCUGGUGUUGAUAUCAAUAUCACAAGUGAAAUACGGCGACGCAAGUAGGAGAAGAACGAGCUUGCAAAGAAGGACCUCGCGUAGAAGUAGUUUUCGAGUUGCGAGUGGCCGUAAACCAUGCGGAUAUAAACGAUUUAGAAGGUGCCGAAGAUAUUGCAGUUGGUGGGGAUGUCGUACCAUUUGCAAAUGGCACGUUCGAAGAGUGUGUUCUGGCUGAAAAUUAAAGUAUGGAAGACUUGUGAAAUUGCUGUAAUGAAAACAUCAAUGUAUUUUGAUAAGAAAAUGUGUUUUAUAUUUUUAACUUUGCUUCUGUAUUACACAAAUGUAAUGUAAGGUCAUCAAAAUGUGUAAUAUUAUUCAUUGCUUAGAAUACCACAACAGCUGCGCAAAGGGAAAGUAGGAAGUUAUAGUUAUAGUACUGUCAGAUAUUUUAGUUUUAUCAAUAGAAACCAAGUUAAAUACUAUCAGUUCGCAUUACGCAUUUUGGAAAGAUAAUUAUUUCAGUUUC
Molecule: long non-coding RNA, 1044 nt
Organism: Hydractinia symbiolongicarpus
Lineage: Eukaryota; Metazoa; Cnidaria; Hydrozoa; Anthoathecata; Hydractiniidae
Exons: 2
Source: RefSeq, a predicted model, not a curated record